This 70-nucleotide transfer RNA is filed under the name Odontotermes sp. BDIT086. Its description in RNAcentral is "tRNA-Phe". The record is from RNAcentral. Lineage: Eukaryota; Metazoa; Arthropoda; Insecta; Blattodea; Termitidae.
ACUUGAAUAGCUUAUUUUAGUUUAGAGCACGACACUGAAGAUGUCGAUGAGGUGUUUUCACCUUUAAGUA